This 27-nucleotide non-coding RNA is filed under the name Homo sapiens (human). Lineage: Eukaryota; Metazoa; Chordata; Mammalia; Primates; Hominidae. The record is from RNAcentral.
ACCUAUAACUGAUUGGGGUACCUGAGA